This 2758-nucleotide ribosomal RNA is filed under the name Klebsiella pneumoniae MGH 19. Its description in RNAcentral is "bacterial LSU rRNA". It matches the Rfam family "Bacterial large subunit ribosomal RNA". The record is from RNAcentral. Lineage: Bacteria; Pseudomonadati; Pseudomonadota; Gammaproteobacteria; Enterobacterales; Enterobacteriaceae.
CACUAUCGUUAACUGAAUACAUAGGUUAACGAGGCGAACCGGGGGAACUGAAACAUCUAAGUACCCCGAGGAAAAGAAAUCAACCGAGAUUCCCCCAGUAGCGGCGAGCGAACGGGGAGCAGCCCAGAGUCUGAAUCAGCUUGUGUGUUAGUGGAACGGUCUGGAAAGUCCGACGGUACAGGGUGAUAGUCCCGUACACCAAAAUGCACAGGCUGUGAACUCGAAGAGUAGGGCGGGACACGUGGUAUCCUGUCUGAAUAUGGGGGGACCAUCCUCCAAGGCUAAAUACUCCUGACUGACCGAUAGUGAACCAGUACCGUGAGGGAAAGGCGAAAAGAACCCCGGCGAGGGGAGUGAAAAAGAACCUGAAACCGUGUACGUACAAGCAGUGGGAGCACCUUCGGGUGUGACUGCGUACCUUUUGUAUAAUGGGUCAGCGACUUAUAUUCUGUAGCAAGGUUAACCGUAUAGGGGAGCCGCAGGGAAACCGAGUCUUAACUGGGCGUUAAGUUGCAGGGUAUAGACCCGAAACCCGGUGAUCUAGCCAUGGGCAGGUUGAAGGUUGGGUAACACUAACUGGAGGACCGAACCGACUAAUGUUGAAAAAUUAGCGGAUGACUUGUGGCUGGGGGUGAAAGGCCAAUCAAACCGGGAGAUAGCUGGUUCUCCCCGAAAGCUAUUUAGGUAGCGCCUCGUGAAUUCAUCUUCGGGGGUAGAGCACUGUUUCGGCUAGGGGGUCAUCCCGACUUACCAACCCGAUGCAAACUACGAAUACCGAAGAAUGUUAUCACGGGAGACACACGGCGGGUGCUAACGUCCGUCGUGAAGAGGGAAACAACCCAGACCGCCAGCUAAGGUCCCAAAGUCAUGGUUAAGUGGGAAACGAUGUGGGAAGGCACAGACAGCCAGGAUGUUGGCUUAGAAGCAGCCAUCAUUUAAAGAAAGCGUAAUAGCUCACUGGUCGAGUCGGCCUGCGCGGAAGAUGUAACGGGGCUAAACCAUGCACCGAAGCUGCGGCAGCGACACUAUGUGUUGUUGGGUAGGGGAGCGUUCUGUAAGCCUGCGAAGGUGGCCUGUGAGGGUUGCUGGAGGUAUCAGAAGUGCGAAUGCUGACAUAAGUAACGAUAAAGCGGGUGAAAAGCCCGCUCGCCGGAAGACCAAGGGUUCCUGUCCAACGUUAAUCGGGGCAGGGUGAGUCGACCCCUAAGGCGAGGCCGAAAGGCGUAGUCGAUGGGAAACAGGUUAAUAUUCCUGUACUUGGUGUUACUGCGAAGGGGGGACGGAGAAGGCUAUGUUAGCCGGGCGACGGUUGUCCCGGUUUAAGCAUGUAGGCUGGUUAUCCAGGCAAAUCCGGAUAAUCAAGGCUGAGGUGUGAUGACGAGGCACUACGGUGCUGAAGUAACAAAUGCCCUGCUUCCAGGAAAAGCCUCUAAGCAUCAGGUAACAUCAAAUCGUACCCCAAACCGACACAGGUGGUCAGGUAGAGAAUACCAAGGCGCUUGAGAGAACUCGGGUGAAGGAACUAGGCAAAAUGGUGCCGUAACUUCGGGAGAAGGCACGCUGGUGUGUAGGUGAAGCCCCUGCGGGUGGAGCUGAGACCAGUCGAAGAUACCAGCUGGCUGCAACUGUUUAUUAAAAACACAGCACUGUGCAAACACGAAAGUGGACGUAUACGGUGUGACGCCUGCCCGGUGCCGGAAGGUUAAUUGAUGGGGUUAUCCGUAAGGAGAAGCUCUUGAUCGAAGCCCCGGUAAACGGCGGCCGUAACUAUAACGGUCCUAAGGUAGCGAAAUUCCUUGUCGGGUAAGUUCCGACCUGCACGAAUGGCGUAAUGAUGGCCAGGCUGUCUCCACCCGAGACUCAGUGAAAUUGAACUCGCUGUGAAGAUGCAGUGUACCCGCGGCAAGACGGAAAGACCCCGUGAACCUUUACUAUAGCUUGACACUGAACAUUGAGCCUUGAUGUGUAGGAUAGGUGGGAGGCUUUGAAGCGUGGACGCCAGUCUGCGUGGAGCCAACCUUGAAAUACCACCCUUUAAUGUUUGAUGUUCUAACGUUGGCCCCUGACCGGGGUUGCGGACAGUGUCUGGUGGGUAGUUUGACUGGGGCGGUCUCCUCCCAAAGCGUAACGGAGGAGCACGAAGGUUAGCUAAUCCUGGUCGGACAUCAGGAGGUUAGUGCAAUGGCAUAAGCUAGCUUGACUGCGAGCGUGACGGCGCGAGCAGGUGCGAAAGCAGGUCAUAGUGAUCCGGUGGUUCUGAAUGGAAGGGCCAUCGCUCAACGGAUAAAAGGUACUCCGGGGAUAACAGGCUGAUACCGCCCAAGAGUUCAUAUCGACGGCGGUGUUUGGCACCUCGAUGUCGGCUCAUCACAUCCUGGGGCUGAAGUAGGUCCCAAGGGUAUGGCUGUUCGCCAUUUAAAGUGGUACGCGAGCUGGGUUUAGAACGUCGUGAGACAGUUCGGUCCCUAUCUGCCGUGGGCGCUGGAGAAUUGAGGGGGGCUGCUCCUAGUACGAGAGGACCGGAGUGGACGCAUCACUGGUGUUCGGGUUGUCAUGCCAAUGGCACUGCCCGGUAGCUAAAUGCGGAAGAGAUAAGUGCUGAAAGCAUCUAAGCACGAAACUUGCCCCGAGAUGAGUUCUCCCUGAGACUUUAAGUCUCCUGAAGGAACGUUGAAGACGACGACGUUGAUAGGCCGGGUGUGUAAGCGCAGCGAUGCGUUGAGCUAACCGGUACUAAUGAACCGUGAGGCUUAACCUU